AUCACAUCGCUUCCUAAAGAAGAUAGAACAAAAGACCACUUGAGCACUUCUCCUACCAUUUUCUACACUUCUAAAUGACACCAGCUUUUACAGAUGACAGAUCUCCUUUCAAUUGCAAAACUAUGGAGUUUACACAAUGAAUUAUAUGGCCUCACUUUUAUCAGAUGAAGCUUCAAGAUCAAGUCUCUCUACACCAAAAUCAGCUUUCAGUUUCCAUGGAACCAACUGAUAGAUGCCCCUACCUGAGGCCUGGU
Pan troglodytes (chimpanzee) is the source of this 254-nucleotide long non-coding RNA. RefSeq lists it as uncharacterized. NCBI's taxonomy places the organism in Eukaryota, Metazoa, Chordata, Mammalia, Primates, Hominidae. The transcript has 3 exons. The record is from RefSeq and is a predicted model, not a curated record.